AGUCUGCAACUCGACUACAUGAAGCUGGAAUCGCUAGUAAUCGCGGAUCAGAAUGCCGCGGUGAAUACGUUCCCGGGUCUUGUACACACCGCCCGUCACACCAUGGGAGUUGGGAAUGCCCGAAGCCGGUGACCUAACCGAGAGGGAGGAGCCGUCGAAGGCAGGUCUGAUGACUGGGGUGAAGUCGUAACAAGGUAUC
This 199-nucleotide ribosomal RNA is filed under the name uncultured bacterium. Its description in RNAcentral is "partial 16S ribosomal RNA". It matches the Rfam family "Bacterial small subunit ribosomal RNA", at positions 1302 to 1500 of the family's 1533-position model. The record is from RNAcentral.